ACCGAUUUGGUCCUAGUCCUAUUCUUAACUUUUUCUGAAAUGAUACAUGCAAGUAAAAAACAAAACAGUGAGUAAAACGCGAUAACAACCACAAAGAAUAACUUAUCGCUUAACUAUAAUAGUAUCAGAACACAAACAAAUUAAACAAAGACACUUAGUAUAAACACCACUUCAGCAGUACUAAACAUUGUACAAUAAGCAAAAGCUUGAUACAGUCACAGAAAAAACAACCGGUCAAUUAUGUGCCAGCCACCGCGGUUAUACAUAAGGUCACAGUUAAGAAUAAACGGUAUAAAGAUAACUAAAAUCAUUUUGGGGAUAAAAAUAACUCUAGCAGUAACAAGCUUAUAGAACACUAAAAACAGCACCAACCCCAAUCACAUACCAACCAGUUACCAAAGCUCAAAAAUAAACUGGGAUUAGAUACCCCACUAUAUGAGCCGUAAAACAACCACACCACCAGAGAACUACGAACUAAAGUUUAAAACUCAAAGGACUUGGCGGUAUUUUAGACCUCCCUGGAGGAGCUUGCCACCUAACCGAUAACCCACGAAAAACCUCACCAGCCUUAGAACCUAACCCAACCUGUAUACCAUCGUCGUCAGUCUACCCCUCAAGGAAAGUAUACAAAAAGAGCUCUCCUCACUACGUCAGAUCGAGGUGCAGUUAAUGAGCUGGGGGUGAGUGAGCUACAACAUCAUAACAAAUUAAACACAAUUAUGAACAGCCUAAUGAAAAAACAGACUCGAAAUCGGAUUCAGCAGUAAUGUUUAACAGAAAAUAAACAUGAAGAACCACACAGCUCUAAAAUGCGCACACAUCGCCCGUCACUCUCGUCCACAGAGGAGAAAAGUCGUAACAAAGUAGGCGUAUUGGAAAAUGCGCCUGGUACAAU
RNAcentral lists this non-coding RNA (895 nucleotides) under Aquilonastra batheri. The record is from RNAcentral. Lineage: Eukaryota; Metazoa; Echinodermata; Asteroidea; Valvatida; Asterinidae.